Molecule: transfer RNA, 73 nt
Organism: Candidatus Nanosalina sp. J07AB43
Lineage: Archaea; Methanobacteriati; Methanobacteriota; Candidatus Nanohaloarchaea
Rfam family: tRNA
About the family: Transfer RNA (tRNA) molecules are approximately 80 nucleotides in length. Their secondary structure includes four short double-helical elements and three loops (D, anti-codon, and T loops).
Source: Rfam
GCCCAGGUAGCUCAGCAGGUAGAGCGCCACGCUGUUAACGUGGCGGUCGCAGGUUCGAGCCCUGCCCUGGGCG